CGGGGGCUAGCUCAGCUUGGCUAGAGCGCGCGGUUUGGGACCGCGAGGUCGCCGGUUCAAAUCCGGCGCCCCCGA
RNAcentral lists this transfer RNA (75 nucleotides) under Chloroflexota bacterium. RNAcentral describes it as "Chloroflexi bacterium (groundwater metagenome) tRNA-Pro". It matches the Rfam family "tRNA". From Rfam's summary of the family: Transfer RNA (tRNA) molecules are approximately 80 nucleotides in length. Their secondary structure includes four short double-helical elements and three loops (D, anti-codon, and T loops). Further hydrogen bonds mediate the characteristic L-shaped molecular structure. tRNAs have two regions of fundamental functional importance: the anti-codon, which is responsible for specific mRNA codon recognition, and the 3' end, to which the tRNAs corresponding amino acid is attached (by aminoacyl-tRNA synthetases). tRNAs cope with the degeneracy of the genetic code in two manners: having more than one tRNA (with a specific anti-codon) for a particular amino acid; and 'wobble' base-pairing, i.e. permitting non-standard base-pairing at the 3rd anti-codon position. The record is from RNAcentral. Lineage: Bacteria; Bacillati; Chloroflexota.